This 576-nucleotide long non-coding RNA is filed under the name Ananas comosus (pineapple). Its description in RNAcentral is "long non-coding RNA (ACOM_LNC003771)". Lineage: Eukaryota; Viridiplantae; Streptophyta; Magnoliopsida; Poales; Bromeliaceae. The record is from RNAcentral.
CACCUAAUAUAUAGGUGUACAUCUUAUAUUUGUCUUUGAAGGUUGGUAUAUAUUCACUUUCUUGUAACAUCAAAUUUUUUAAAAUACCAAAUACGUGAAAGGUUUUAUAAACUCUUAGAUGUGAGGGUUGUAAAAUGUACACCCUUGUAAGGGUCUAGCAUAAUUCUGUAACUUUUCGAAAAAAUAUACAAAGACCCCAUGAACUUUAGCUUUUUUGUAAACAGACAUAAAAUUUCAAUUUUGGCAAUUUGCUCCCUUAAACUUUAUCAAAUAGUUUAAAUAAAAACAUAUAGAACUUACCUGAACCAUGAACAAUUUUGACCUAGCUAUCAACAUUUCAAUUUAUUUACUUAAGUCAUGUUAACGGAAUUUUGACUUCAAAAUUUAAGCUAAUUACUUAUUUUAAUGAAUUUAUAGCUGUGAGAAUUGCAUGAGAUAUAAUAACUAAACUUGUAAAAAUAAACAAUGCAUUCAAAUUUUAAAAUCAAAGAGCCGUUGAGUGAUUCAAAUUAAAUAAAUUGAAAAGUUGGAUAAUAAAAUCAAAAUGUGAAAGGCUGGGUAGCCUAUUCAAAAUGG